Molecule: long non-coding RNA, 1681 nt
Organism: Lolium rigidum
Lineage: Eukaryota; Viridiplantae; Streptophyta; Magnoliopsida; Poales; Poaceae
Exons: 3
Source: RefSeq, a predicted model, not a curated record
UGUUGAACUAUGCUCUUGGUGUCUAGGAAGGUAAAAGUAACCAAAAGCAUUUUUUCUUUUGUCGCGUGAGAACAAGCUAAUGGUUUAAAAACUUAUCUCUAUUUUUCGAUAUAUGCAUAUAGCGAUGUUCACUUAGGUAGCUAUAGAGUAAUCACUUAGUUACACUUUGGCAUAGUACUGGUUGAAGUAGGGAGUUACAGGAAACCAUUGCUUGACACUGAUCCCCCUUUCCUCUACUUCCUAAAAAAAAUACAUUUCAGUUUAGGGAAUGGCAGGCUCUAAUUGUAUAUCCAUAGAUGACUCAAACAUGCCGUUAAGAUAUGCAUCAUAUACAUAUUCCGUGUAUUGUUAUGGUUAUAGCUAUCGCAUUAUUUAUAGGAUUUUUUCCCCUUGGUGGUCAGUGUAGGUUGUACUGUUCUUUUAAAUGUGCUUUGGAUAAUUUAUCUUUUAAUAUGUUUGUUUCAGCUACUUUUUAAUUACUAUUGUAAAAUGUGCUUUAUAGGUAUGAUGGAAUUUCAUGCUUAUAGCUUCGUUUAUUGCAUGCACUAUGUAAAAUACAGCAUAUGAAAUAACCUUUCUGCAUGGAUAAUCUAGCAAAAUUGUCAAAGAGUAAAAGAGAGAACCCAUUGUUGAAGUUUAUUUCGCACGGUAGUGGAUUUUCUAUAACAGAACAUGCUUUUGAUACCAUAAGCAUAUGUUUUCUGGUUUUGUAAUACCUCUUUGGUCCUCUCAUUGUUAUCAUUUUCCAUCCUAUCUCUAGCCCUAUUGUUGUUUGUCAUGGGAGGCUGUUAAAGGUAGACCCUUCAAAGUCUGAGCUGAAUACUGAGUUGAAUAACCUUUAAAUGCUAGGUUUUUAAAAAGUUGACACUCCUUUACCCUAAGGGGUAACUAAUUAUGCAAGACAUUUCAGAUCCUAUAGUCGUUGGUGUGUUAUUCCUGCAGAAUUAGCUAGAUCACCAAUAUGUCCGUUUGAUUACAAUUUUGAAAUCAACUUUGGCAAACAAACUUAACACGGGGCCAACCGUCCGAGCUCGCUCCACAAGCCUCAGUUUUUGGUAAGCAGCUACGUUAUACCCUACCAUAUGAAAAGGUGAUGCUAUCAUCCUAAACAGGCCUACCGGCCAAGCAUGCUCCACGAGCCUGUAUUUUGGGUUGGCAGCUGCGAUAUAACCUACCAGAUGAGAAGGUUAGGCUAUCUUCUUAUCAAAUUGUGGACCGGAUACCUUGGUGCUUGCCUAAAGCCGAUUAAAGGCACAACCAGUGAAGGUUGGUUUGGGAGGGCAAUUUUCCCACAUCUGUGAAAGUUCCCUGGCCAACGGGCAAGGUUUGGCAUCUGCUUUCACCCUGAUGGGCACAGGAUAAUCACGGUCGGCUAAUACAUGCGAUCUCAUGAAUUUCCCAACAGCUACCAGUUUGUGGGCACGAUCCACAGCAAGAACAUGGAGAUUGGCAAAGUCUUCCACCCCGUCUUGCCUUUGCACUUGGGAAACUGAAGCAAGACAUUGAUGCGUAGCACCAUCACACAUACUUUUGUCUAGAAGAAGUAUCCAUGUAUGAGCAGCACAUGCUAUGAGUUUAUUUCGAUGGCGCGUGGCUCUAGCAUUGCAGCCUCAUGGUGAUUGCAAUAUUAUGCUCAUACAUUAUGAACUUUAUUAGCUAAAUGGUUAACAUGUGAAUUUCA